Molecule: long non-coding RNA, 2150 nt
Organism: Paramormyrops kingsleyae
Lineage: Eukaryota; Metazoa; Chordata; Actinopteri; Osteoglossiformes; Mormyridae
Source: RefSeq, a predicted model, not a curated record
UUUCGCUAUUAAGCCUCUUUAAAACGGACAAUCUGGUUUAAGUUCAAUGUGCAUUCACAUGACUCGGUGAACCGAGUACAUAUUUUAGGUUAUCAAUUUACAGUAAACGCUAAGUCCAUUUGUGGCCUUAAUGCUAAUAUAAUAUGGAUUUUCAUAGAAGCAGUCACUACCUGUUUCCAAUUACCAUAACUGAAAACAUAUUAUUGGCAUACUUACCAGGUGUAAAUUAUUACCAGAUGCAUGACUUUUCUUUAUUUAAUAAAGAAAUAUUUUCAUAAGCUAUAAUUUUUACAUUUAAUUGUAUUUGAGUAUUUUGGAUCUACGGUGCUUGCGAAUAGAUGCUUAAAACUAAAUAUUAGGCAAACAUUUAUGGUAUAAAUAUAACAAAAUGAAACCAUUUUAGAUAGUAAACAAAAUAAACGACAGUGCAUAUUCAUAUAGUUCCUGAUUUCCGUUUCUCCAUGUGCUCUGUUAACUCACGUGUUGGGGUACAUGCUUGAUCAUUUUAUCUUUUUACCUCUCAAAGACUGAUACCGGGAGCUGGAAAAACGCUGUUCUCGAUCGUGCCUUUACAUUACGAAUAAGAAAGUCAUUGGUGUUGCAAACAAUAUUUCUUGACGUGUAUGUGAUAUGUAUUAAGGAAAAAACAUGGUUACUUUAUGAAUGAAGCGUUUUGCUUUGUAGGCUAAUUCAAAUUAGAGAACAGUAAGUGAUCAAAAACAAAUUAAUCUUAACUAUAAUGCACGGUAAGUCAUCAGAGUAGUUUAUAAGAAAUUCAAUUAAAUCAAUAACAAGGCAUGGUAAUAGCAUUUUUAAAUAGCUCACAAAGUGAUAACGAUGGAAGUGACAAGCCGUUAGUCAUUUUUUAUCAUUUGAUCCUUGGGGCCCUUCAGCAACACGGAGCAUUUUAAACACCUUGUUAAUCCGCGCUAAUAUCUAAAUGCUCUAAAUGAGUUGAUCUUUCAAUUAGAACUACAGUACAGGAGAUGAUUGCAGAGUUUGUGCAUAUAACCAGCAAGUUAGUACAGCAGUACUGUUGUACGAUAAGCAAGGAAUGACGACAGAUUGAUGGGAAUGGAUUCAUAUGGCCUACACAUUACAUCCUUCAGACAGAAGGUUAAGAAGAACUUUGGCAGUGGGUCAAAGACUGCAGUGGACAAAACUCGAAAGGUCUGCCACCUGCUGGACGCAGAGAGCGUAGGCUUCAGGUGGAGUAAGGAUAAAUCCUUACUCCAGCUGCUUAUCUAAUACAGGGUCGCAGGGGGACUGAAGCCUAUCCUAGGCAACAGGCGCAGUGUAAGGGAACACCAGUCCAUGACAGGACAUCGCAGGAAGACAAACCACACGAUGCAGUGGGGAAGAUGCAAGCACAUACAUGCACAAUGCAACACAUAAGCACUAAAAGCUAUAGAUAGAUAGGAGGUUCCUACUCACAGUGUAAGAUGAAUAAUUAACAUUCAUACUAUUAAGAUGAUACUAAUGAAACCAUUAAUGUGUUUGACCUUAAAGAUGGACUGACAAAAAAAAACUAAUGUAGAAAUUUCAGGUUUUGCAUUUCUUUAAUUAUCAUCCUCCAUGUUCAGUUCCUAAGCACUGGUGCUGGAGAGACUGUUCAGAUUUAUAAAGCAAUUAUUUAUAAACAAAUUAUCUGACUCAUGAAGACUUAGCCACUCAUUCUAAUGAAAUUAAUAAACUUUUUUUGUGUAACGGACAAUCUGAUCUAACUGUUAUUAGAAAAAAAUGCAAUUCCUUCUUAACUCCGGUUGUAUUGUCAAUGAAAGCUUAAUUUACAGUGACUAACGGGUGUCACUUGAUAUUUCCGAAUACGGUGUUCGCACGAAUGGAUACAACCGCAGCAGGUUAACGUUAAGGCAUGCGUCAUACUUGCGGGCUCUCGCCUGUAGGUGGUGCUGUUGUCUUUUGUAAGCAGUGCUUCAGCCCGUUAAUACUGUACUGUUGAAGAAGCACCGUUCAUAGUGCUGUUCACCACUGGAGCCUUGGGGACAUGUAAGUGCUUCAGUGAUUCUUUCAGAGGACUUGUGGAUUGUAUUAUACUGUCAACUGACGGGAUUGUCUGUGUAUUAUCUUAGUAUGGCUGAUAUUCUAUCGCACUCAUUGUGAGGGCUGCCAACUCACACUCACGCAAGAAA